GUCUACCGCCAUACCACCCUGAACGCGCCUGAUCUCGACUGAUCUUGGAAGCUAAGCAGGGUUGGGCCUGGUUAGAAGUUGGAUGGGAGACAUAUAUCUGACCCUUUGUGAAACC
Non-coding RNA from Canis lupus familiaris (dog), 115 nucleotides. The record is from Rfam. Lineage: Eukaryota; Metazoa; Chordata; Mammalia; Carnivora; Canidae.